Molecule: non-coding RNA, 1117 nt
Organism: Phoenix dactylifera (date palm)
Lineage: Eukaryota; Viridiplantae; Streptophyta; Magnoliopsida; Arecales; Arecaceae
Source: RefSeq, a predicted model, not a curated record
UACGAGUGGAAGAGGCCACACAAUUAGUAAGAAUUGUAUCUGAUCCUUCUCCAUUCUGCAUCAUUGGCACGAUAGGUUGUGGCUGAUCCAGCAAUGGGACUCUUCCAGGCAGUGGCCUUGAACCCUUGACAAUAAGAACAUGCAAUCCCAGCUCUAAACUAUUACCUUGAACCCUUGACAAUAAGAACAGGCAAUCCCAGCUCUAAACUAUCUACAUACAUGAACUGCCCAAGCUGCAUCUUGUUGCUGAGGACAAGGUCAUUUUGUUCAAAUGUUAGGCUAGCAUAGAUAAAACAGGAAAAAUCAGAUCCUUUUCAUCAAGGUCUAUUGGCGCGAUGUCGGUCACUUGCAAGAGUGCACUCCGAUGCUCCCUGAUCGGUUUGGUGGCACCCGCAUUCAUGCCAUCAAGGAGCUUCAGUAGAGUUCUUGGAGCCAUUGUCGACAUCUUAUCUUUAAAGCGGGGGAAAAGUAACGAAGCAAAAUGCCAAUGUACAAAUUGUAAGAAUUGGCCGCAUUAUAUAUGUAUCGAUAUAUAUAUUGACCGUAAGGGAGGCGAAUAGCCACCCAAGACUUCAUUGAAAAGAAUAGAUAUUUACAGAGUAGGAGUAUUACAAGAUGAGUGUCAAAAUAAGUAGAAUAUUAGCAGAGUGUGAUAGAAGGUCAUGUAACAAAACUUCUAACCAAAAAAGGUGGCCUCAUUAUAAAUCAAAAUCCGUAAUAACCAUCAGCAUACAAUAGCAAAUACUCACAAUUUAGCUGCAACAGUGAAAAUCUUCUCUAUAUUCCUAUAAAUUCUUCAUUAAACAUAAGUCAUCAUGAAAUACCACUGUAAAAAAGCAAAUGGUUCUAUAAAUUCUUUGUGAGAGAGAGUAUUCAGAAAACUACAUGCAGUGUAGAGUAAUGAAAACUAUGAAGAAAUCCAACUCCAAGUCUGUAGAAUAGGAAACAAUUGGUUGUACUUAUCGUAAAUUAAGACCUAUCAAGAACUUUAAUCAAACAGGUGAUGGUAAUACUGCUUUAACCCAAAAAAAAUACAAUUCUUUAAACACCUAUCAAGAAUUAACCUUAAAUUACCUUCGGGUUACCACAACCAACAAGAAAACAGAAUUCAGUAGAA